AGACGUCUACAUUAGAUACCCCGGUAGUCCCAGCCGUAAACUAUGCGCGUUAGGUGUAUCGGUGACCACGAGUCACCGAGGUGCCGAAGGGAAACCGUGAAACGUGCCGCCUGGGAAGUACGGUCGCAAGGCUGAAACUUAAGGGAAUUGGCGGGGGAGCACCACAACAGGUGGAGCCUGCGGUUUAAUUGGACUCAACGCCGGGAAGCUCACCGGAUAGGACAGCAGAAUGAUUGCCGGGCUGAAGACCCUGCAUGACUAGCUG
This 265-nucleotide ribosomal RNA is filed under the name uncultured archaeon. RNAcentral's name for it is "partial 16S ribosomal RNA". It matches the Rfam family "Archaeal small subunit ribosomal RNA", at positions 717 to 982 of the family's 1478-position model. The record is from RNAcentral.